CCGACUUUAGCUCAGUUGGAAGAGCAUCAGACUGUAACGUCCUUUCGCAUUGCCCAUCUGAGGGUCGUCUGUUCGAACCAGACAAGUCGGA
Molecule: non-coding RNA, 91 nt
Organism: Mycena olivaceomarginata
Lineage: Eukaryota; Fungi; Basidiomycota; Agaricomycetes; Agaricales; Mycenaceae
Source: the annotation of a GenBank genome assembly